AGGUGGAAAAGGAGGGAGCUACUCUCAGGCUGCGUCCAGCAACAGUGCCCAGGGCUCUGAUGUGUCUCUCACGGCUUGAAAAGCCUGAGACAACUGUCUUG
Long non-coding RNA from Cercocebus atys (sooty mangabey), 101 nucleotides. RefSeq lists it as uncharacterized. The record is from RefSeq and is a predicted model, not a curated record. NCBI's taxonomy places the organism in Eukaryota, Metazoa, Chordata, Mammalia, Primates, Cercopithecidae. The transcript has 3 exons.